AACGAACGCUGGCGGCAGGCUUAACACAUGCAAGUCGAGCGCAUCCUUCGGGGUGAGCGGCGGACGGGUGAGUAACGCGUGGGAACGUGCCCUCUUCUACGGAAUAGCCUCGGGAAACUGAGAGUAAUGCCGUAUACGCCCGCAAGGGGAAAGAUUUAUCGGAGGAGGAUCGGCCCGCGUUGGAUUAGGGAGUUGGUGGGGUAACGGCCUACCAAGCCGACGAUCCAUAGCUGGUUUGAGAGGAUGAUCAGCCACACUGGGACUGAGACACGGCCCAGACUCCUACGGGAUGCAGCAGUGGGGAAUCUUGGACAAUGGGGGCAACCCUGAUCCAGCCAUGCCGCGUGAUCGAUGAAGGCCUUAGGGUUGUAAAGAUCUUUCAGCUGGGAAGAUAAUGACGGUACCAGCAGAAGAAGCCCCGGCUAACCCCGUG
RNAcentral lists this ribosomal RNA (433 nucleotides) under uncultured bacterium. Its description in RNAcentral is "partial 16S ribosomal RNA". It matches the Rfam family "Bacterial small subunit ribosomal RNA", at positions 29 to 507 of the family's 1533-position model. The record is from RNAcentral.